This 425-nucleotide ribosomal RNA is filed under the name uncultured bacterium. RNAcentral's name for it is "partial 16S ribosomal RNA". It matches the Rfam family "Bacterial small subunit ribosomal RNA", at positions 354 to 796 of the family's 1533-position model. The record is from RNAcentral.
GUGGGGAAUCUUAGACAAUGGGGGAAACCCUGAUCUAGCCAUGCCGCGUGAGCGAUGAAGGCCUUAGGGUUGUAAAGCUCUUUCAGCUGGGAAGAUAAUGACGGUACCAGCAGAAGAAGCCCCGGCUAACUCCGUGCCAGCAGCCGCGGUAAUACGGAGGGGGCUAGCGUUGUUCGGAAUUACUGGGCGUAAAGCGCGCGUAGGCGGACCAGAAAGUUGGAGGUGAAAUCCCAGGGCUCAACCUUGGAACUGCCUUCAAAACUCCUGGUCUGGAGUUCGAGAGAGGUGAGUGGAAUUCCGAGUGUAGAGGUGAAAUUCGUAGAUAUUCGGGGGAACACCAGUGGCGAAGGCGGCUCACUGGCUCGAUACUGACGCUGAGGUGCGAAAGCGUGGGGAGCAAACAGGAUUAGAUACCCCAGUAGUCC